This 301-nucleotide ribosomal RNA is filed under the name uncultured bacterium. RNAcentral describes it as "partial 16S ribosomal RNA". It matches the Rfam family "Bacterial small subunit ribosomal RNA", at positions 509 to 807 of the family's 1533-position model. The record is from RNAcentral.
CAGCAGCCGCGGUAACACGGAGGGUGCAAGCGUUAAUCGGAAUUACUGGGCGUAAAGCGCACGCAGGCGGUUUGUUAAGUCAGAUGUGAAAUCCCCGGGCUCAACCUGGGAACUGCAUUUGAAACUGGCAAGCUAGAGUCUCGUAGAGGGGGGUAGAAUUCCAGGUGUAGCGGUGAAAUGCGUAGAGAUCUGGAGGAAUACCGGUGGCGAAGGCGGCCCCCUGGACGAAGACUGACGCUCAGGUGCGAAAGCGUGGGGAGCAAACAGGAUUAGAUACCCCAGUAGUCCCUGUCUCUUAUAC